Molecule: non-coding RNA, 45 nt
Filed under: Schistosoma margrebowiei
Lineage: Eukaryota; Metazoa; Platyhelminthes; Trematoda; Strigeidida; Schistosomatidae
Source: RNAcentral
AUCCAUCUGACGAGUUCCAAAUAAGACGAAAUGCGCAUUUUGGAU